This 162-nucleotide small nuclear RNA is filed under the name Marmota monax (woodchuck). RNAcentral describes it as "U2 spliceosomal RNA". It matches the Rfam family "U2 spliceosomal RNA". Rfam says of the family: U2 is a small nuclear RNA (snRNA) component of the spliceosome (involved in pre-mRNA splicing). Complementary binding between U2 snRNA (in an area lying towards the 5' end but 3' to hairpin I) and the branchpoint sequence (BPS) of the intron results the bulging out of an unpaired adenosine, on the BPS, which initiates a nucleophilic attack at the intronic 5' splice site, thus starting the first of two transesterification reactions that mediate splicing. Lineage: Eukaryota; Metazoa; Chordata; Mammalia; Rodentia; Sciuridae. The record is from Rfam by way of RNAcentral.
AUCGCUUCUCGGCCUUUUGGCUAAGAUCAAGUGUAAAACUUGCAGUGUUUAUUUUUCCCACUAAAUGUUAAUUAUUGAGAUUUUAAAUAAGCAGUUAUAUUAAUCAUAGACUCUCAUAGAGCUCUUAGGAAAGGCAAUACUUUGCUAUCUGUUACAUAUCCC